GACGAACGCUGGCGGCGUGCUUAACACAUGCAAGUCGAACGGAAAGGCCUGCUUUCCCUUGUGGAUUGCGGGUACUCGAGUGGCGAACGGGUGAGUAACACGUGAGUGAUCUGCCCCCAACUUGGGUAUAAGCCUGGGAAACUGGGUCUAAUUCCCGAUAGGACUGCAGGGUGGUGCCUGUGGUGGAAAACGAUUUUCUAGUGGUUGGGGAUGAGCUCGCGGCCUAUCAGCUUGUUGGUGGGGUAAUGGCCUACCAAGGCGGCGACGGGUAGCCGGCCUGGGAGGGUGGACGGCGACAUUGGGACUGGGAUACGGCCCAGACUCAUACGGGAGGCAGCAGUGGGGAAUACUGCACAAUGGGCGGAAGCAUGAUGCAGCGACGCCGCGUGGGGGAUGACGGCGUUCGGGUUGUAAACUCCUUUCGACCGCGAGGAAGCCACCUGGUUGGAAGGGUGGUGACGGUAGUGGUAGAAGAAGCCACGGCUAACUAAGUG
RNAcentral lists this ribosomal RNA (494 nucleotides) under uncultured bacterium. RNAcentral describes it as "partial 16S ribosomal RNA". It matches the Rfam family "Bacterial small subunit ribosomal RNA", at positions 28 to 507 of the family's 1533-position model. The record is from RNAcentral.